UGAAGAAGCUGAGCUCCCCAGGCUGAAGGAAGAGAAGCCUGGCCUUACCCACAAUCAGUAUAAGGACAUGAUAUGGAAGCUAUGGAAGAAGUCUCCUGACAACCCUCUUAAUCAGGUUGCAGCCGAGUGAGUGGAUCCAUGUCCUUCAACAUGGGGCAGGCGGUCGUUCCCUAGAUUUUAAGCCUGUUUACUAAAGUUUGGUCAAAGUUUGUAAUCUGACCAAUUCUUCUUCAGUUCAGUUGUAUCCUGGAAUAUUUGGUUUGCUACUAAUGGGUCUUUCGUCUGUCUGUUGCAUAUUAUGGCACAGGACUCUCGUAAAUGCAUAUAAAUAGUUUUGGGUCCAGUGUUGUACAAUAAGAAUCAAUAUUAUGACCUUGGUUUCUGAUAUUUUCAUUUAG
This 398-nucleotide unclassified non-coding RNA is filed under the name Hevea brasiliensis (rubber tree). Lineage: Eukaryota; Viridiplantae; Streptophyta; Magnoliopsida; Malpighiales; Euphorbiaceae. The record is from RNAcentral.